CAAAAAAAAACUAAAAAAAC
This 20-nucleotide small RNA is filed under the name Arabidopsis thaliana (thale cress). RNAcentral's name for it is "ATSL251760". Lineage: Eukaryota; Viridiplantae; Streptophyta; Magnoliopsida; Brassicales; Brassicaceae. The record is from RNAcentral.